RNAcentral lists this non-coding RNA (139 nucleotides) under Streptomyces sp. The record is from RNAcentral. Lineage: Bacteria; Bacillati; Actinomycetota; Actinomycetes; Kitasatosporales; Streptomycetaceae.
GAGCCGACAUCAUGAGCCGUCAUGUUCUGACUCCGCCGUCGGGGGAAGUCCGGUCGAAUUCCGGCGCUGACCCGCAACGGUAGGCCGCCGACGGCAGUCGGCGGCGAGCCCGAGUACCCGUCGGCGGAGGUGUGUGUCC